RNAcentral lists this ribosomal RNA (497 nucleotides) under uncultured bacterium. RNAcentral's name for it is "partial 16S ribosomal RNA". It matches the Rfam family "Bacterial small subunit ribosomal RNA", at positions 28 to 507 of the family's 1533-position model. The record is from RNAcentral.
GAUGAACGCUGGCGGCGUGCCUAAUACAUGCAAGUCGAGCGAACAGACGAGGAGCUUGCUCCUCUGACGUUAGCGGCGGACGGGUGAGUAACACGUGGAUAACCUACCUAUAAGACUGGGAUAACUUCGGGAAACCGGAGCUAAUACCGGAUAAUAUUUUGAACCGCAUGGUUCAAUAGUGAAAGACGGUCUUGCUGUCACUUAUAGAUGGAUCCGCGCCGCAUUAGCUAGUUGGUAAGGUAACGGUUUACCAAGGCAACGAUGCAUAGCCGACCUGAGAGGGUGAUCGGCCACACUGGAACUGAGACACGGUCCAGACUCCUACGGGAGGCAGCAGUAGGGAAUCUUCCGCAAUGGGCGAAAGCCUGACGGAGCAACGCCGCGUGAGUGAUGAAGGUCUUCGGAUCGUAAAACUCUGUUAUUAGGGAAGAACAAAUGUGUAAGUAACUAUGCACGUCUUGACGGUACCUAAUCAGAAAGCCACGGCUAACUACGUG